CCACUCUCUGUCUCUCUUCCAGCUCUCUUUCUCUCUCUCUUCCAUUCUCUACUUCAAAACCCAAGGCACCACAGGUCUCUCUUCCAGCUCUCUUUCUCUCUCUCUUCCAUUCUCUGCUUCAAAACCCAAGGCACCACAGAUCUAAGAACCCAAGCAUGGCCACCACAUAUCUGAGAUCUCCAUGAUCUCCACCUACCUCAAUCUAUUUUCUAAUCUUUAUCAUAAAAUGAAUAUUUCAGUUCUGGGUUAUCAGUGAAUAGAGAAUGAGAGGAGAAUAAGUCGAUUUGACGAAUGACGA
Rosa chinensis is the source of this 298-nucleotide long non-coding RNA. RefSeq lists it as uncharacterized. The transcript is spliced from 2 exons. Lineage: Eukaryota; Viridiplantae; Streptophyta; Magnoliopsida; Rosales; Rosaceae. The record is from RefSeq and is a predicted model, not a curated record.